RNAcentral lists this small RNA (493 nucleotides) under Arabidopsis thaliana (thale cress). Its description in RNAcentral is "ATSL083930". The record is from RNAcentral. Lineage: Eukaryota; Viridiplantae; Streptophyta; Magnoliopsida; Brassicales; Brassicaceae.
AAUAAUUUUUUUAAUAUUAUUUGAUGUAAUGAUGAUUUUGCAUUAAUUGUGACAAUAGUCACAUCUAAACUUUUUGAGGGCAUUAAAUGUUGAUGUCACUUCGGAAUAAUGGAAAUAAUCUCACUUGUAACGGAACCGAAUCGCGUCAACGUGAAACAAAAAAUCUUCAACUGAACCGGAACAGUGUACUUAACUAAACCUGCUAAACUAAACCGUACAUUUCAACAGUUACUAAGAGAGAAGCGCAAGGGCAGAAGCGUCAUUUUGCAGGCAAAAAGACAAAUGGUGAAAACCACAUUUGACUUUGACAAUCCAUGAAAAUAAAACAUGGUCAACGGGUGUCGCCUGCAAUUUACCCAUGUUUAAGAGCUGUUUUGAUUUUUUCACUCUCUCAAAUACAUUUGUUUCUUAAGUUUUCCGACUCGUGCUAUUUUCUUAAUUUUGUUUUUGAGUCAAAGGUUACUUACUAAUAUUACCCUUUUUAUUUAUUUUU